Dermochelys coriacea (leatherback sea turtle) is the source of this 8485-nucleotide long non-coding RNA. RefSeq lists it as uncharacterized. The record is from RefSeq and is a predicted model, not a curated record. Lineage: Eukaryota; Metazoa; Chordata; Testudines; Dermochelyidae. The transcript has 4 exons.
CGUACUGCAUGACAGACAAAGAAAAAAGGGUCAGAAGGCCAGUCGUAACCGGAGGUUAGAAUGGGGGAAGGUCCAGCACAUGGAAUUGGGCAGUGCUAAAUCUAUGGAUUUCAAAUAAAUAGGACAAAAAAAAAAAAAAAAAGGAGGGGAGAGAGUGAAGAUCUGUAAAAAUACAUUUCCCCAAUAGGCCCUCAAAACGGAUUAAUUCUGGAUCCUUGAAAAGCAUCCUUGUGAAGGGAAGUAGGUAAAAGCAGCGUAGGUUGCUUUGGAGUGACGCUCAAAAUAAACACGUUGCGGAAAAGUUGCCUGCUUCAAUAUGUCUCCACAGCAAAAGUUAAAACGAGGACACCUAUUAUUAACACGGGAAUUAAUACAGGCUCCUGGUUUAAGCACAAUUUGAAAAUGUGGAAUUCCCAUGUGGAGGAAAAACGUGAGUUAAAGCAGUUAAUUAAUGUUAAGAUAGCCUGUUUUAAAUCUUCCCACUGUUAAGAAGGAAAGUACACAAGUAUCAAUGAUCUGUUGUUAUCCAAAGUUUAAUAACCAAAGAGUCGAUUUUUGGUUUAUAGCUAUUAUGUGCAAGCUACUUUAUUGUCGAUUUGCUGCAGAUGUGUGCAUGUGCUACUGAAAGUUUUGAAUUUUAAGUAUAUUAUUUGUUAAACAUUAAAAACCGAAAGUUAAAGUGGUACUUAAGGAUUCGAGGAAACUGCCACUUUUAAUCUAUUAAAAGCAAAAGUGUGAAUAAGUUGUUUUAAAAAACACUGACAAUUGCUUGAACUGAAAGAGUAAAGGCAAGUUUGUCAGUACAGUAACUUUCUUUUACAAACUGUACUUUGAGGGACAGUACACAAAUUAUUGCAAGCAAACUUAAUUUUAUGUCGUUUUUCUUUUAAAAACUUUAUUCAUUACAUGGUAAUGGUCCCUCACAAUAUUUUCAUCGCAUCUCAAUGUAUCUGAUAAGUCUAGAAAAAAAUAAUAUUACAUCCAAAAUAGUAAUAAUAAAUAUAUGUGCAUAUUAUUUCUGCCUAAUUCAAAUUUAAAUAUGCAACUAUUUUUAAAUGAAGGUCUGACUACAGCACUUCACAUUUGUGAUGGCAAAAAGUUAUGUUUACUUAAAGUUUAAUAAGUUAUCUUUGAAAAGUGAAGAUGUAUGUCAUCACUAAUGUUAAAUGUUAAAUUAAAAUGUUCAAAGACAAGUUAGUUAAAUAUUUUAAACACUGGUGACUUUAAAACGACAUUGUAUUCUUAGCAGUAUAGCUGUAAUACUGAUAAAUACAUACACUUGUAUUUUCAGUUACAUGCCUGUAUAUCAUUACUUUAUAGAAAGUUUGUCUCUUCCGUGAGAUGUCUGUGAUAGGAAUUGAUAGAAUCAAGAAAUUGACAAUAUAUAUAGGUUUGAGCCAAAGAAGAGGUGGGAAAAAACUUUUUCGCAGCGUCUCUAUCAGCCACGUUUCAAUAUUAUUUCACAUUUAAAUUCCAUUUUUUUAAUACGUACCCUUUGCGCCAUCGGCCUGGCUUGCUCCCUUCCUACUUCAACUUCUAAUAUAUCCUCUUUAAGGCCAGUGUGAAAAGAAACAAACGCAAACUCUCCCCCAAACCCCCAAAAAUGCAAAAAUCCCUUAGAGUCGCCAGCAAUGUGAGCAAUCGAGGAAAAUCUUCAGCUUACUGGAUCUCAAAGAAACGACACAGUAAUUCAGCAUUAAAAAAAAAAGAGAGAGAGAGAGAGACUCGCCCUCCUUCUCUUUCUUUCUCUCUCUCUCUCACUCUCCCCCUUUCGUUUCCAAGACAGCAGCGGGGAGAAAGCAAAUAUCCUUUCCCCAAAUCAGUUUUUUUUUUUUUUUGGUUUAAAAAAAAAGUGCCCCUCAAUCCCAACUACCAAGUCUCAUGGCUUUUUGCCACUCCAGCUGUCAAUCAAAGGCGAGGUUGUCAAGGUGGUGAAUGAAUGAUGAUGAUCCGCUGUGUGUACUUCCACUGCUCUGGACACCUCAAAUGUUAAUAUUCAAAUGCAUGGAGGUCUAAGCGCUGGCUUGUUCUUGAAUCAGUCCUAAUUCCUAAUCAGAUCUCGCUCGCGCGCUCCCUUUCCCCCUUUGCAGCGGGAGAGGCUAGAGGAAGAGGGUUAAAAAUGUCUGUCUGAGUUUGUCUUAAAGGAGCCACGAUCGAUCCUGCCUGCUGCAAGUCCCCCGUGCGUGUGUAAAGUGUGUGUUGCACAGGCGGAGAGGUGGAUUUGGACCAGAAUGCUGGAACCCGGAAGUAGUGGUGGCCAUAACAGGUCGCGUCUUACACAAUGCACUGGGCUGCAUCAACUCGGCUCCUAGCGCAGGGGUGGGUUGGGUGAGAUGCAAGCGAAGAGGCUGUGCGAGCCACAGAAGCGUUCAGUUAACAACACACACACACACACACACACACACAGGGUUACAGUUACUAAAAUAGAUGGUACUUCUGGUGUGCGGCUGGGCUAUCAGCUAUUUUAAGAGCUCCCUGUAAGCAGAGUUCAUUGCUGCCGGCCAAAUUAUGGGGUAUUGCAGGGUUGGGUGGUUUGUUUGUUUGUUUGUGUUUUGUAGGGGGCAGGAUUUGUUUCGGUCCCCUUUUCACACCGACCGCUUUGGGUCAUUGUUUGCAGCCUUUGCAAAAGAUCUGAGAUCGCUCACAUGAGUUAUGUGCAGAAGAGAGGAGCAAUGGUUAAAGAGACACCAUCCAUCCUUCUUCCCAGAGCCCUGCAAGCACAUCCAGUACUCCAGCCUUUCUGAGUGGUAGAGCAAAACUAGGAGAUGACCCAGAGCAUCUGCGUCUGGACACUGGCUUGUUUUUAUUGCCAGUGCUGUUACUGAAGUGAUUGGCAAGAUCAAGGGCAGGAAGGCAGAACACAGGAGUGCUGUCUGCUGUAUUUUCUCGCGGGCGCUCAGCUCGUGUCAUACGCAGCAAUCCACGCCACUCUGCCUAGCCGUCUCGGAGUUUAAUGGCCAUUUCCUUUGUCUAAUAGCAAUGGUUACUUUGUAUUUACACCCCCUCCGUACGGCAGCGCUCGAAAGGAUCAGCAAUUCCCCCCCCCCUUCUCCCCCCCCCCACACCCAACCGGAGGACUUUCAUCCUUUUUUGUAUCCAGAGCAAACAGUCUCCCCCCCCCCCCCCAACUCCCAGCAACGAAAGUAAAAUAGAGCGAAGUUGAGCUUUAGAACGAAAGGACCAAAACGCACUUCGGAUGCGCCGGGCUCAUUUGCUAGAAUUUAUUCGGUGCCCAUGUAACUCUGAGCAGAUGUUCCACACAGACAGUAGUUGAUUCAAAUAUGCAACAUCUUUCAGAGCAGAGAUCCGUGAGACGGGGUUGUUGUUUUUUUUUUUUUUCCUCUCUCCCUCUUCCCCCUCCCCCAAGCGCCAAGUCCCUCAGAAAACUCCCCCUGCGGUAUGUUGGAAAAUGAGCUCACCCAAAUCUCAGUAGGCAGCAGUGGAGGAGCCGCAGUCCAAUCAGGAGCUUUUCUUCGAAAGCCAGCCGUGCAUUGGUGGAGGGGAAAAUCAAUUAUCAAAUAAUCGAUCAGCAGGGAGCUUCGAUCUGCGGGGAGUGCCAAAAAAGUCUCCCUCGGAACAGAGAGGCUAAGUUCUCCAAAGCAGAAAGAUUGCUCACUUGUUCUGCUUAGCCAUAGUACAAGCUGCUGCCUAGGGGCAGACAUAAACAUACCCUGCAAGGGGAAUAAAAGACACCCUUCACUCUCUCUCUUUCUCUCUCUCUAUAUACAGAGAGAGAGAGAGAGAGAGAAAAGUACUUUUAAAAAGUUAAGAUACGACAUAUUUAUGUCAACACGAUGUUACGGAGCUUGAUAUGUGAACUCAGCAGGCUGACAGAUUAUACUGACACAGCAAAGCAUUCAGUGCCAGCGUUUACUGUUUACAACACACACGUUUGUGAACCCGAAGCAUCUUCAGCAGUGUUCCUUGCAUGCGGUGCUCCAUACACGUCAUGUAAUGAUCGUACUUUUGAUUGUUUUGGGUAAGGAAGAUCGCUUUUUCCUGUGGCAUUACAUCUGCAACUUUUGACUUAACAGCAGAACCUGAAAUAGUAAGAACGAUCACUAGGAAGUGGUCUUCUCGUUAGUGUUUACCAGGAAAUAUUCUGAUUUAUUUCAAUUUCUCGAUUUAAAAAAAAAAGAACUCUAUGCUUAUGAUUUAUUAUUAUGGCAAUUUUAUGUUUGCUUUUGGGAUGCUCAGGCAGUAAGUCUUAAACAGAGAUAAAUCACAUACGAUUUCUGCCAGGCCAAAGUCUGAAAUGUAAUGUUAACAGACGGAAUUCCCAGCAUCAACAUAAUCCCUGCCUGCGACCUAAAUCUUCUCUUAAAGUAUAUUUUAGGGGGCAAAACAGAUUUAAACUCACUUUAAAAAAACAAACCAGAACCCAGGACUUUUCUGAAGCUGUAAUUGCAGCGACGACGCAAAAUAAAACAGUAUUUUUAUAGGGAUUGCCAUUGAGAGAGCUCUAGUAUUCCCUAAAUCGUCUCUUUUCUCCGCAGGCGAGUACAGUUGUUUCAUAUUCUACCUGUGUGAUUAUUCAAAUGAUCCGCCGGCUAGAUGUUUCAAAUUUGUCUCAGAAAGGAAAGAUCUGUCAUCGAUCAGAUCAGUUCAGUAGGGUGGCAAAAAAGUGCCAAAUCAAACAUUAAAGUAUUCACACAUAGGGCUCAACGAUCCUUAAAUGAGCUGCAUGGGGCGGGUUAUCCGAGUAAAAUCUACAAAAUAGAAAUUACUGUGAAAUGCACUUGGGUAAAGCUGCUUUUUAACAGCUUUGAGAGACCAUGGAGGAGACAGAUCAGAACAAUUUGAAGCGUGGAGAUACUCUUUAGUCCAUCUCUUGCCGCGACAUUUCAAACCUCAAUAAAACCGUUUCGAUUCCGACCCCCCCCCCCCAACACACACACACUUUGCUGUAGGACAAACCUUCUAUGCCAGCGAUGAAUAUAAAGAUUUUUCAGAUUUAGCAUUUAAGAUGACGUGUUUUGCUUUGGAGUCUUGUAUGCACUACUUCUGUGAUGCCACAUCGAUAAUCAUUUUACUUAUUCCUCACCUCAGAAGUUUGCAAUUUGAACUUGUAUAAGCGAAGGCCUUUCACAUGAGGUAGGAGGAGAGGUCUGAAAGUUCAGAUGAUGAUUCAGAGCAAAAUGAUGAAGAAAGUCCUCGAUUAAGUGGAAUUUGUAUAUAUUUGCUUAUCAUAUAAUAAAUAAGACUUUAAAUCAGCCUGAAUUUCCUAGCUUAAGUACAUAAUUAAUCUUACCUAAUAGCAUUAAAAUGAAUACUAGUUUUCUGAUGACUUUUUAUAGUUUGAUGGGAAGGGGCUUGCAGUUGGGAAAAAAAUCAACAACAAUACAUACUCCUUCCCCAUUAAUAUUUACAUUUAAAAAUUCAAAUAAGGACAAAAUCCCCGAAGAAAACAGAUUUUAAAUGCAGUAGAGAGAUAAUAAAGGAAUGUGGCAGAUAAGAGUUUCAAGUGAUAUGAGUCAAGAUACCAAAAAGUCAAAGCCUAAUGAAUGGCUGUGAGAAAGGUGAAGAACUAUUUAAAGAUCUAUUAAAGGGCAAAAUCUGAAAAGGUGAUAAUAAAAGGAGGUUAACUGGAGGGGAUUAAGUGAAGAUGUGAAUCAAGUGCCCAUGUGCAAGUAAAACUGUGGUUCAUGGAGGUUUGUUUACUGGAUUCUGCUUCAGAAAACAAAGAACGCCUGGUCCAGUUAGGAGUCAACCAGAGGUCAGCUUGUGCUAUCCAACAGUCAGAGACAAAAUAGUCAAGUCACUGUAUUCAGUAAACAGUCUGAAUGAAUAAUGGUAGAAACGCACUUUGCGAAGGAAAGAGCUGGUUUCAUUAGACUUUUCUAUUUCAGCUCUUUAGAAUAGCACGGAACUUGAGGGGAGGAGUAAAAUGAAGGAGGGGGGGCACUACUCUCUUUAACAUAAUUACCAGUUCUGACACUUUCAGAAAUUAUAGAGGUCUUUUAUUAAUUAAAUGGAGGGCUUAAUAAAAUAUUCAUAAUAAAAUGUACGGUUGACGUAAAACUUUCUAAACACUGCUGUAAAUUUUUAAUAAAUUAACUGAGCAAUGAGUUACUGGCCUUGGCUUUUGUCACUUAAACUUCUGCAUAAGUAGUGAAUGCAGAGUGACAGCAACGUGGGAACCUUUCAGAACCAAAAAUGUGUACAAUUACAAAGGGUUUUAGAUCUCGGAAAAGUCGCCCUCAGAUCCAGAGGAGAGUUGUCCAAGCUGAGGUUUCUCCUUCAUCCUUCCCUACAAGAGAGCAGAGUGUACACCAUGCGCGCCUCACCGUCCCAGAACACAGGGCCAGUCCUAGCCUGGGGACACAAGGAUUUCAGCAGCAUUUUUCCCUACGGGGUGGACUAAUUGUACAGAACCCCACCCCCUUUCAUUCCUCCCCACUUACUUGAGCACACGCAGCUGCAGUCACCCUUGUGGCUUGGAAGGAAAGGCGGCCUCCUGCACCAAGGCUGCAAGGCCAGUUCCCCAAGGCAGCAGCUGCGAGAGGGAGGGGGGCAGGCGGUGAAAGCUGCACUUUCCUCUGAGCAGAGUAGUGUUCCCUCUGAGGGGCCCCCAGCCCCAGGAGCCGGCUCCCAAGCCCUGGGCCUCCCGCAUGGAAGCAAUGUUGCCUCCUCCAUAGCCUCUAAGCCAUCCGGGCAGGCAAGGUUUGCAAUUUUAACUCUGGCUAUUCAACCACAUUGUCCUUGUUAUAGUUCAAGGGCCAGAUCCAUGUGUAGGAAUCAACUGUUAGGACCAAGCACAGAGGCUUACAGCAAGAGAUUUCAAAGGCCUGAUUUAGCUUGUGAUUAAGAGAACACAACAAGAUAACAGUGAUGAUUGUUUCACCUAAAAAUCACAAAAAGCCCUGUCAUUCAGCGGGUGAGAAAGGGUAACAGAAUGGGAAGAUUCUACAAAGAAACACCUCGGAAGCGUGUUUGCUUUCAGUUUACUCUAUUGUAGACUAUUCAGUUUACAUAUAAUAUUUCACUCUGGUUAUGCUGGCUUCAUUCAAAAAGUGUUAUAAUUGCAUUUUACAGAAAACAUUCAUUACCUGUUUCUAACCCUAGACUUAGAAACGGAGCCAAGCCAGGAAGCAUAGAUCUCAGAUCAGAGCUGUAUUCAAACUUCCCAAAAUCUGGAAGUGGACAGAUCUACUUGGAAAUACCUAUUAGAGCAACCAGCUCAACUCCCUGCUAAUGCAGGAUUGUUUCCCAGCAUUUAGUAGUGCUUUGUCCAGUCACUUAUUAAAUAUUCUGCUGAUGCGGUUUUCAUCACUUCCUGAGGGAGAUUAUUCCCUAACCUGUUUUAGGCUCAGAUUAUUAAAAGCUAUUUAGGCACUGCUGUGCUCAGUACCACAACACCUAACUGAGUUAGAAGCCUAAAUAUCAUGUUCAAAAAGGAUUUAGGUGCUUAGGAGUCUAAAUUCCACCAACAAUGGGAUUUAGACUCCUAAGUACCUAAAUACCUUUUGAACAUGAUAUUUAGGCUCUUACCCCUAAAUACCUUUACAAAUCUGGGCCAGACUGCCAAGAAGACUUUACUUCUAACUACUCUCCUUUUUACCACCCUAGGCAUACACCUCCUCACACCCUUCAAAUAUUUAUAGAUGGUGUCCAGUCCCCACUUUGGCUGGUUUUUAGGACCAAAUUAGGUUUCCUCCUCCAGCUCCCUAAUUAUUUUUGGCCCUGUUUCUGUUAGAAAAACUACCAAGUUUGACAAUGUCUGUCAAAUUCAAUGGUGGCCUAAUCUUAUAGCUACAGAUGGGCCUGAACUAUAAUUGCCCAGCUAUCGUCAAUGGGGUCAACCUGUGUUAACCAGUUUUUAAUCAAAAUGUGUUUUAGGGUCUCUCUGUAUUACAAAUGUAACUGUACCAGAACUAAAUGAAAUAUUCCAGGGGCAAUUACACCACAGUCAAAUAGAGAGGCACUGUUCCAUUAGGAAAAGGAGGACUUGUGGCACCUUAGAGACUAACAAAUUUAUUUGAGCAUAAGCUUUCAUGAGCUACAGCUCACUUCAUCGGAUGCAUUCGGUGGACUGUUCCAUUAGAUGCUGCUUUGCCAUGCAGCUGAAUUAGGUUUUUCAGUUGCUAUGUCACAUUAUUUUUAAGAAAAAAGAAAAGGAGUACUUGUGGCACCUGAAUUUAGCCGUAUAGAGUGGACUCUGAAACCUGUCAUUAUUUUUAAGAGUUUCUAUUAUGCUCAUCACAGCCACAGUUCUGCAAUGACUUACACAGAUGCUGAAAUUUAAGUCAGGAUAUGUCUACACAGCAAAGGAAAACCUGCAGCCUGCCUGUGCCAGCUGACUCGGGCUUGGGUUGUGGGCAGAAGUGUCAGAAGCUCCCGAAAAGUGUGUGUGUGUGUGUGUGUGUGUGUGGGCCACCGGUGCCUGAACCGUGGUCCCACACCUUGCAAUGUCUCUUCCCUCUGAGCCCUCCCCACUCCCCCUGUUCCCCUGAGGCCCUGCCCUCAUGCCGCCUUUUCCCCCCAA